Non-coding RNA from Halocaridina rubra (Hawaiian volcano shrimp), 68 nucleotides. Lineage: Eukaryota; Metazoa; Arthropoda; Malacostraca; Decapoda; Atyidae. The record is from the annotation of a GenBank genome assembly.
UCUGUGGUGUAGUGGUAACGCCUUGACUUAGUAAGCAUAAGUCCUUGGUUCGAGUCCAGGUUGGGGAA